Molecule: ribosomal RNA, 253 nt
Filed under: uncultured bacterium
Lineage: Bacteria
Description: partial 16S ribosomal RNA
Rfam family: Bacterial small subunit ribosomal RNA
Source: RNAcentral
UACAGAGGGUGCAAGCGUUGUUCGGAAUUAUUGGGCGUAAAGAGCUCGUAGGCGGUCUGUCGCGUCUGCUGUGAAAUCCCGAGGCUCAACCUCGGGCUUGCAGUGGGUACGGGCAGGCUAGAGUGCGGUAGGGGAGAAUGGAACUCCUGGUGUAGCGGUGGAAUGCGCAGAUAUCAGGAGGAACACCGGUGGCGAAGGCGGAUCUCUGGGCCGAUACUGACGCUGAGGAGCGAAAGCGUGGGGAGCAAACAGG